RNAcentral lists this long non-coding RNA (1057 nucleotides) under Panax ginseng (ginseng). RNAcentral's name for it is "long non-coding RNA (PGIN_LNC012580)". The record is from RNAcentral. Lineage: Eukaryota; Viridiplantae; Streptophyta; Magnoliopsida; Apiales; Araliaceae.
AAAGCCCAACCAUCACAAACAACAAAUCAGAAGCAUCAAAGUCAGAAAUCAAGAAAUCAAAGUAAGAAAAGGUAUGAAAUCCCAAAAAUUAGAAAUCCUUCGAUUCGAUGUUAAUUGAUGCAAUUGAUUGUUUAAAGUAGUGUAAUAAGGAGUCUAUUAAUGUUCUGGGUUGUAAAAUCAUGAACCCAUAACAUCAAAGUGCACGAAUUUGAAGAUUUGAGCAAGUUGGAAAAACCGAAUUCUGUUAUUUUUCACCAAAUGUCAGAGGCUAUAACUCUUUGGUCGAUCCCGAGUUUUGUUUUUUAAAAGUUGUUAUACGUAGCCUGAUAUGUGGUCUUUAAUCCCCAAAAGGAAUCAAGUUCAUAGCUAUUGUAGAUCGGGAUUUAUAAGCGGUCAAAGUGGGUUGACCGGCAUUGACCGGCUGUUUUUCAAACCCAGAAAAUAUUAUAAGUGUCCAGAAAUCUUUUUUUGGCAAAUGUCAGGCCUUAUAUCUAGGUCAUAUUUAAUGUGUUUUGUGUUCUAAAGGUUGAUAUGUGUAUCUUGUUAUGUGGUAUUUAACCUCCAAAAAGAAUCAGGUCCAUAUAUAUUACGAAUUAAGAGUUAUUUAAGGUCAAAGUGGGUUGACCGGCAUUGACCAGAAAAUUCUGGGCAGCCCAGAAUUUUCUAAGUGUUGUUUUUUUUGAUAAGGUUUGACCAUACUUUAGAUGCUUGAUUUAUUGUUGUUAUGAUAAUUUUAAGUGUUAGAGUUGUAGUCCUACAUGUUGUCUAUACACUGGAAUUGAUAUAUCACAUAAAAGUUACACGAUCAUCAAGUUAUAGAGGUCCAAAGUAGGCACCUCGAACUGUUCUUCGUGAAGAACAGUUUUGGUAGCUACUUUGAUGGCUUAUUUAUCCCAGAUCUGAUGUUUGUUUAGAGGUUAUGAUUGUUGAAUCUUGUAGUCCUGUAUUUCCUCUACAAGACUCAAUUUAUAGAUUGUCCAAAUUCAUUAAGAUGAGAGAGUUAUUCACGGUCAAAGUAGCCCACUCGGUUCUGCCUUAUGAAGAUCUGGGUAGGCUC